This 253-nucleotide ribosomal RNA is filed under the name uncultured bacterium. RNAcentral describes it as "partial 16S ribosomal RNA". It matches the Rfam family "Bacterial small subunit ribosomal RNA", at positions 524 to 776 of the family's 1533-position model. The record is from RNAcentral.
GACAGAGGAGGCAAGCGUUGUUCGGAAUCAUUGGGCUUAAAGGGCGUGUAGGCGGUAGCGUAAGUGUCUUGUGAAAUCCCACGGCUCAACCGUGGAACUGCUUGGCAUACUGCGUUACUUGAGGUCGGUAGAGGUGCCUGGAACUCUAGGUGGAGCGGUGAAAUGCGUAGAUAUCUAGAGGAACGCCUGAGGCGAAAGCGGGGCACUGGGCCGAUUCUGACGCUGAGACGCGAAAGCGUGGGGAGCAAACAGG